Molecule: ribosomal RNA, 1139 nt
Filed under: Enterococcus faecium
Lineage: Bacteria; Bacillati; Bacillota; Bacilli; Lactobacillales; Enterococcaceae
Description: bacterial SSU rRNA
Rfam family: Bacterial small subunit ribosomal RNA
Source: RNAcentral
AACAGGUGCUCAUUCCGCAUAACAAUCGAAACCGCAUGGUUUUGAUUUGAAAGGCGCUUUCGGGUGUCGCUGAUGGAUGGACCCGCGGUGCAUUAGCUAGUUGGUGAGGUCACGGCUCACCAAGGCCACGAUGCAUAGCCGACCUGAGAGGGUGAUCGGCCACAUUGGGACUGAGACACGGCCCAAACUCCUACGGGAGGCAGCAGUAGGGAAUCUUCGGCAAUGGACGAAAGUCUGACCGAGCAACGCCGCGUGAGUGAAGAAGGUUUUCGGAUCGUAAAACUCUGUUGUUAGAGAAGAACAAGGAUGAGAGUAACUGUUCAUCCCUUGACGGUAUCUAACCAGAAAGCCACGGCUAACUACGUGCCAGCAGCCGCGGUAAUACGUAGGUGGCAAGCGUUGUCCGGAUUUAUUGGGCGUAAAGCGAGCGCAGGCGGUUUCUUAAGUCUGAUGUGAAAGCCCCCGGCUCAACCGGGGAGGGUCAUUGGAAACUGGGAGACUUGAGUGCAGAAGAGGAGAGUGGAAUUCCAUGUGUAGCGGUGAAAUGCGUAGAUAUAUGGAGGAACACCAGUGGCGAAGGCGGCUCUCUGGUCUGUAACUGACGCUGAGGCUCGAAAGCGUGGGGAGCAAACAGGAUUAGAUACCCUGGUAGUCCACGCCGUAAACGAUGAGUGCUAAGUGUUGGAGGGUUUCCGCCCUUCAGUGCUGCAGCUAACGCAUUAAGCACUCCGCCUGGGGAGUACGACCGCAAGGUUGAAACUCAAAGGAAUUGACGGGGGCCCGCACAAGCGGUGGAGCAUGUGGUUUAAUUCGAAGCAACGCGAAGAACCUUACCAGGUCUUGACAUCCUUUGACCACUCUAGAGAUAGAGCUUCCCCUUCGGGGGCAAAGUGACAGGUGGUGCAUGGUUGUCGUCAGCUCGUGUCGUGAGAUGUUGGGUUAAGUCCCGCAACGAGCGCAACCCUUAUUGUUAGUUGCCAUCAUUCAGUUGGGCACUCUAGCAAGACUGCCGGUGACAAACCGGAGGAAGGUGGGGAUGACGUCAAAUCAUCAUGCCCCUUAUGACCUGGGCUACACACGUGCUACAAUGGGAAGUACAACGAGUUGCGAAGUCGCGAGGCUAAGCUAAUCUCUUAAAG